Molecule: ribosomal RNA, 253 nt
Filed under: uncultured bacterium
Lineage: Bacteria
Description: partial 16S ribosomal RNA
Rfam family: Bacterial small subunit ribosomal RNA
Source: RNAcentral
GACGAACCGUGCGAACGUUGUUCGGAAUCACUGGGCUUAAAGGGCGCGUAGGCGGGCUCGCAAGUCAGGGGUGAAAUCCCACGGCUCAACCGUGGAAGUGCCUUUGAUACUGCGGGCCUGGAGGGAGGUAGGGGCGUGCGGAACUUCCGGUGGAGCGGUGAAAUGCGUAGAUAUCGGAAGGAACACCGGUGGCGAAAGCGGCGCGCUGGACCUCUUCUGACGCUGAGGCGCGAAAGCCAGGGGAGCAAACGGG